Long non-coding RNA from Cercocebus atys (sooty mangabey), 204 nucleotides. RefSeq lists it as uncharacterized. The transcript has 3 exons. The record is from RefSeq and is a predicted model, not a curated record. NCBI's taxonomy places the organism in Eukaryota, Metazoa, Chordata, Mammalia, Primates, Cercopithecidae.
AGGGGCUGGAGGAAGCUGAAAAGAUGCAGUUUUAUCUUCAAAGGAAAGGAUGAUGCAACAUGAAGGCCCACUUCAGAUGCCAGUGUCGUGCUCUUGGACUUCCCAGCCUUCAAAACUUUUUCUGUCUUCUCAGUUGAUACUUCCUAUGAAAGAGUAUCUAUUACUGCCAGGUUUUCCCAUGGUUCUGUCUCAUCUCUAGUGCCA